Small nucleolar RNA from Lactuca sativa (garden lettuce), 108 nucleotides. The record is from RefSeq and is a predicted model, not a curated record. NCBI's taxonomy places the organism in Eukaryota, Viridiplantae, Streptophyta, Magnoliopsida, Asterales, Asteraceae.
AGGUCAUUUUGAGGACAAUUUCUCAACAAUCCAUUAUAGCGCUCCCAUGCCUCAUAAAGUGACUCAACCGGAUUUUGCUCAAAAUUUUGCUAUUGCCUUUUUGAGUUU